UAGAGUUUGAUCCUGGCUCAGAUUGAACGCUAGCGGGAUGCUUUACACAUGCAAGUCGAACGGCAGCACGAGAGAGCUUGCUCUCUUGGUGGCGAGUGGCGGACGGGUGAGUAAUAUAUCGGAACGUGCCUAGUAGCGGGGGAUAACUACUCGAAAGAGUGGCUAAUACCGCAUACGCCCUACGGGGGAAAGGGGGGGAUCGCAAGACCUCUCACUAUUAGAGCGGCCGAUAUCGGAUUAGCUAGUUGGUGGGGUAAAGGCUCACCAAGGCAACGAUCCGUAGCUGGUUUGAGAGGACGACCAGCCACACUGGGACUGAGACACGGCCCAGACUCCUACGGGAGGCAGCAGUGGGGAAUUUUGGACAAUGGGGGAAACCCUGAUCCAGCCAUCCCGCGUGUAUGAUGAAGGCCUUCGGGUUGUAAAGUACUUUUGGCAGAGAAGAAAAGGUACCUCCUAAUACGAGGUACUGCUGACGGUAUCUGCAGAAUAAGCACCGGCUAACUACGUGCCAGCAGCCGCGGUAAUACGUAGGGUGCAAGCGUUAAUCGGAAUUACUGGGCGUAAAGCGUGUGUAGGCGGUUCGGAAAGAAAGAUGUGAAAUCCCAGGGCUUAACCUUGGAACUGCAUUUUUAACUGCCGAGCUAGAGUAUGUCAGAGGGGGGUAGAAUUCCACGUGUAGCAGUGAAAUGCGUAGAUAUGUGGAGGAAUACCGAUGGCGAAGGCAGCCCCCUGGGAUAAUACUGACGCUCAGACACGAAAGCGUGGGGAGCAAACAGGAUUAGAUACCCUGGUAGUCCACGCCCUAAACGAUGUCAACUAGCUGUUGGGGCCGUUAGGCCUUAGUAGCGCAGCUAACGCGUGAAGUUGACCGCCUGGGGAGUACGGUCGCAAGAUUAAAACUCAAAGGAAUUGACGGGGACCCGCACAAGCGGUGGAUGAUGUGGAUUAAUUCGAUGCAACGCGAAAAACCUUACCUACCCUUGACAUGUCUGGAAUCCCGAAGAGAUUUGGGAGUGCUCGCAAGAGAACCGGAACACAGGUGCUGCAUGGCUGUCGUCAGCUCGUGUCGUGAGAUGUUGGGUUAAGUCCCGCAACGAGCGCAACCCUUGUCAUUAGUUGCUACGCAAGAGCACUCUAAUGAGACUGCCGGUGACAAACCGGAGGAAGGUGGGGAUGACGUCAAGUCCUCAUGGCCCUUAUGGGUAGGGCUUCACACGUCAUACAAUGGUCGGGACAGAGGGUCGCCAACCCGCGAGGGGGAGCCAAUCUCAGAAACCCGAUCGUAGUCCGGAUCGCAGUCUGCAACUCGACUGCGUGAAGUCGGAAUCGCUAGUAAUCGCGGAUCAGAAUGUCGCGGUGAAUACGUUCCCGGGUCUUGUACACACCGCCCGUCACACCAUGGGAGUGGGUUUCACCAGAAGUAGGUAGCCUAACCGUAAGGAGGGCGCUUACCACGGUGGGAUUCAUGACUGGGGUGAAGUCGUAACAAGGGUAACC
This 1500-nucleotide ribosomal RNA is filed under the name Alcaligenes sp. B_IV_2L29. Its description in RNAcentral is "16S ribosomal RNA". It matches the Rfam family "Bacterial small subunit ribosomal RNA". The record is from RNAcentral. Lineage: Bacteria; Pseudomonadati; Pseudomonadota; Betaproteobacteria; Burkholderiales; Alcaligenaceae.